RNAcentral lists this ribosomal RNA (474 nucleotides) under uncultured bacterium. RNAcentral describes it as "SSU rRNA". It matches the Rfam family "Bacterial small subunit ribosomal RNA", at positions 26 to 518 of the family's 1533-position model. The record is from RNAcentral.
AGGACGAACGCUGGCGGCGUGCUUAACACAUGCAGGUCGAGCGGAAAGGCCCUUCGGGGUACUCGAGCGGCGAACGGGUGAGUAACACGUGAGUAACCUGCCCCUAGCUCUGGGAUAGCUCCGGGAAACCGGGAUUAAUACCAGAUACGACCACUUUAGACAUCUGUCGUGGUGGAAAGGAUUCCGGCUAGGGAUGGGCUCGCGGCCUAUCAGCUUGUUGGUGGGGUAACGGCCUACCAAGGCGACGACGGGUAGCCGGCCUGAGAGGGCGACCGGCCACACUGGGACUGAGACACGGCCCAGACUCCUACGGGAGGCAGCAGUGGGGAAUAUUGCGCAAUGGGCGAAAGCCUGACGCAGCGACGCCGCGUGGGGGAUGAAGGCCUUCGGGUUGUAAACCCCUUUCAGCAGGGACGAAGCGAAAGUGACGGUACCUGCAGAAGAAGCGCCGGCUAACUACGUGCCAGCAGCCGC